GAUGAACGCUGGCGGCGUGCCUAACACAUGCAAGUCGAACGAAGCUUGACGGAUGAUUUCUUCGGAAUGAAACCAGAUAUGACUUAGUGGCGGACGGGUGAGUAACACGUGAGCAACCUGCCUUUCAGAGGGGGAUAACGGCUGGAAACGGUCGCUAAUACCGCAUGAUGUGUUCGGAUGGCAUCAUCUGAACAUCAAAGAUUUAUCGCUGAAAGAUGGGCUCGCGUCUGAUUAGAUAGUUGGUGGGGUAACGGCCUACCAAGUCUACGAUCAGUAGCCGGACUGAGGGGUUGAACGGCCACAUUGGGACUGAGAUACGGCCCAGACUCCUACGGGAGGCAGCAGUGGGGAAUAUUGCACAAUGGGGGAAACCCUGAUGCAGCAACGCCGCGUGAAGGAUGACGGUUUUCGAAUUGUAAACUUCUUUUCUUAGUGACGAAGACAGUGACGGUAGCUAAGGAAUAAGCAUCGGCUAACUACGUG
This 483-nucleotide ribosomal RNA is filed under the name uncultured bacterium. RNAcentral describes it as "partial 16S ribosomal RNA". It matches the Rfam family "Bacterial small subunit ribosomal RNA", at positions 28 to 507 of the family's 1533-position model. The record is from RNAcentral.